CAGCCUCCUGAGUGCUGGGAUUAUACAUGCACCACCAUGCCUGGCUAUAUUUAACUUUUUAAAGAACUUUCAAACUCUUUUAUGAAGUGGUUGCACUGUUUUUAUUCCUACCAAUAAAUGUAUGAUGAUUCCAGUUUCUUGUCCUCACCAACAGUUUUUUAUUAUGUGUGUGUGGGAGGGGUGGAUCUGGGAUUUAACCCAACGUCUUCACCUUAAACCUUACCGCCCCCAUUAAUUUAAUUUUUAUUUGGGAAAUUAAGGCACUAAGUCGCCCAAGCAGGGUUCAAACUUGUGAUUCUCCUGGCUCAGCUUCCCAGAGUGCUGGGAUUACAGGCGUGCACCACCAUGCCUGGCUUUUGUCUAUAUUUUUGAUUGGGAUUUUCUUGUGAUGUUAAUUUGCCUAGACUUUGAUUUUUGGAUGUAUUUGAUAUAUCUAGUUUCACCCACUUAGAAAGAGAGCUUUGUGAAUAUUAUGAAGAUUAGGAACUGAAAUGAAUGAUAGAUGGUCUCUCCCUGCGGACAACACAAGUCUCUUGCCAGGAGGUGGAGAAACAGAUCGCUGUGGUGGAGGGGGUAAGGGAAUGAAGUAGCAGGGAGCUCGGGAAGUGGCUGCCCAGUGCGCAGGGGUACGCCGCCCACUCCCUUGUGGCAUUCCCGAUGACUCUACGUUGGAUUUCUUAUCCUGAAAAGCUAAAGUGAAGGCUGGAACGUGAGAAAUCCGAGAAAUCAAGAAUAUUCCGGGGUGACCUGAUUGCUGUGUGCAGUGUGGGCUGUGGCAGGGCCAGAGGGGAAGGCCGCCAGGAGGAGGGUGCGCCGCGCCGGAGACGGAUGAUGGCGGCUUGACCUCGAGAGGUUCAGCUGAAGAACCACCCUUCCCUCAGAUGCCUUCCAGGAUCUGCACAAGCUGGACGCAAUUCCUCUCUUUCCUAGGUUACAAAAGGUUGUGACUUCCGUUCUGCUAAUACUGUCACAUGCUCCCUCUGAUGAAGCCUACUGGCAUGUUGUAAGGGGCUCUGUGGGAAGGCCCACAUGGCAAGGAAUCAAAGGAGGCCUCCAGUCACCAGCUGCUGAGGUCUGAGUCCAGUACCCAGAAAGACCUGAGUCCUGAAAGCAAUCAUGUGCAUGAACUUGGAAGCAGAUCCUCCCUGAUGGUCUUCAGAUGAGACUGCGUCCCCAGCCAACAACAUGAUUGUGGCCUCAUGACAACCUCUGAAGUAGAAGAUAGCUAAGCCAUUUCUGGAUUCCUGAAAAUGUCUUAAGCUUCUGAAUUUGAAGGAUGGUGUUACGCUUGUAUGGGGACCCUAGAGGAUGUCAUAUAUCACAGAGAACCCACUACACUUCGGACCCCUAGAGAAGAAACUGAAAAUGCAUGUGUAGCAAUCUCAAUGACUAAGGUUACCCAAGCAGUUUACCAUACUAAUGUUUGGAAACUAAUGCCUACCACUUUGAGCACCUCUUGUAAUUUUACAGGCCAAAGGUAACUUGUAU
Long non-coding RNA from Chinchilla lanigera (long-tailed chinchilla), 1488 nucleotides. RefSeq lists it as uncharacterized. The transcript is spliced from 7 exons. NCBI's taxonomy places the organism in Eukaryota, Metazoa, Chordata, Mammalia, Rodentia, Chinchillidae. The record is from RefSeq and is a predicted model, not a curated record.